UACGUAGGGUGCAAGCGUUGUCCGGAAUUAUUGGGCGUAAAGAGCUUGUAGGCGGUUUGUCGCGUCUGCUGUGAAAUUUCGGGGCUCAACCCCGAACUUGCAGUGGGUACGGGCAGACUAGAGUGUGGUAGGGGAGACUGGAAUUCCUGGUGUAGCGGUGAAAUGCGCAGAUAUCAGGAGGAACACCGAUGGCGAAGGCAGGUCUCUGGGCCACUACUGACGCUCAUGCACGAAAGCGUGGGGAGCAAACAGG
RNAcentral lists this ribosomal RNA (253 nucleotides) under uncultured bacterium. RNAcentral describes it as "partial 16S ribosomal RNA". It matches the Rfam family "Bacterial small subunit ribosomal RNA", at positions 524 to 776 of the family's 1533-position model. The record is from RNAcentral.